CAGCGGCGGACGGGUGAGUAACACGUGGGCAAUCUACCUUGGAGACUGGAAUAACGCCUGGAAACGGGUGCUAAUGCCAGAUAGGCAAUCACGCGGCAUCGCGAGAUUGGGAAAGGCGCAAUUGUGCCGCUCAAAGAGGAGCCCGCGGCGCAUUAGCUAGUUGGUGGGGUAAAGGCCUACCAAGGCGACGAUGCGUAGCCGACCUGAGAGGGUGACCGGCCACACUGGGACUGAGACACGGCCCAGACUCCUACGGGAGGCAGCAGUAGGGAAUCUUCCGCAAUGGGCGAAAGCCUGACGGAGCAACGCCGCGUGAGCGAGGAAGGCCUUCGGGUUGUAAAGCUCAGUCAUUCGGGAAGAGCGGCUGUGAGAGUGGACUGUUCACAGCGAGACGGUACCGAAAGAGGAAGCCCCGGCUAACUACGUGCCAGCAGCCGCGGUAAUACGUAGGGGGCAAGCGUUGUCCGGAAUCACUGGGCGUAAAGCGUGCGUAGGCGGUUUGUUAAGUCUGGAGUGAAAGUCCAAGGCUCAACCUUGGGAUUGCUUUGGAAACUGGCAGACUUGAGUACUGGAGAGGCAAGGGGAAUUCCACGUGUAGCGGUGAAAUGCGUA
This 612-nucleotide ribosomal RNA is filed under the name uncultured bacterium. RNAcentral describes it as "bacterial SSU rRNA". It matches the Rfam family "Bacterial small subunit ribosomal RNA", at positions 93 to 692 of the family's 1533-position model. The record is from RNAcentral.